GCAGAGUAGGACGAUGUGCGUUAAGUGUCGGCUGGACGGGGAGUUGCCAGCCGGACGAAAGGCAGUAUGCUUGCGGUACAUCGUCCGCAUCCCGCUGC
Molecule: non-coding RNA, 98 nt
Filed under: chicken gut metagenome
Description: THF riboswitch
Rfam family: THF (Tetrahydrofolate) riboswitch aptamer
About the family: THF riboswitch presents a pseudoknot that joins P1-P2 and the loop of P3 and two THF binding.
Source: RNAcentral